GGAGUUAGCCGGUGCUUCUUCUGCGAGUAACGUCACAGAUGUAAGGUAUUAACUUACACCCUUUCCUCCUCGCUGAAAGUGCUUUACAACCCGAAGGCCUUCUUCACACACGCGGCAUGGCUGCAUCAGGGUUUCCCCCAUUGUGCAAUAUUCCCCACUGCUGCCUCCCGUAGGAGUCUGGGCCGUGUCUCAGUCCCAGUGUGGCUGAUCAUCCUCUCAGACCAGCUAGGGAUCGUCGCCUAGGUGAGCCUUUACCUCACCUACUAGCUAAUCCCACCUGGGCUUAUCCAUCAGCGCAAGGCCCGAAGGUCCCCUGCUUUCCCCCGUAGGGCGUAUGCGGUAUUAGCAGUCGUUUCCAACUGUUAUCCCCCACAAAUGGGCAAAUUCCCAGGCAUUACUCACCCGUCCGCCGCUCGUCAUCUUCAAAGCAAGCUUUUGAAAUGUUACCGCUCGACUUGCAUGUGUUAGGCCUGCCGCCAGCGUUCAAUCUGAGCCAGAUCGAAACCUGACUACGAGCGGCGCGCGACGACGC
RNAcentral lists this ribosomal RNA (532 nucleotides) under uncultured bacterium. RNAcentral describes it as "partial 16S ribosomal RNA". The record is from RNAcentral.